Molecule: ribosomal RNA, 147 nt
Filed under: uncultured Lactobacillus sp.
Lineage: Bacteria; Bacillati; Bacillota; Bacilli; Lactobacillales; Lactobacillaceae
Description: partial 16S ribosomal RNA
Rfam family: Bacterial small subunit ribosomal RNA
Source: RNAcentral
UUACGGGAGGCAGCAGUAGGGAAUCUUCCACAAUGGGCGAAAGCCUGAUGGAGCAACGCCGCGUGGGUGAAGAAGGUCUUCGGAUCGUAAAACCCUGUUGUUCGAGAAGAAAGUGCGUGAGAGUAACUGUCCACGUUCGACGGUAUC